UACGUAGGGUGCAAGCGUUGUCCGGAAUUAUUGGGCGUAAAGAGCUCGUAGGCGGUUUGUCGCGUCUGCUGUGAAAACUGGGGGCUCAACCCCCAGCCUGCAGUGGGUACGGGCAAACUAGAGUGCGGUAGGGGAGAUUGGAAUUCCUGGUGUAGCGGUGGAAUGCGCAGAUAUCAGGAGGAACACCGAUGGCGAAGGCAGAUCUCUGGGCCGUAACUGACGCUGAGGAGCGAAAGCGUGGGGAGCGAACAGG
RNAcentral lists this ribosomal RNA (253 nucleotides) under uncultured bacterium. Its description in RNAcentral is "partial 16S ribosomal RNA". It matches the Rfam family "Bacterial small subunit ribosomal RNA", at positions 524 to 776 of the family's 1533-position model. The record is from RNAcentral.